CAGAGGGGGCGAGCGUUAUUCGGAAUUAUUGGGCGUAAAGGGCGCGUAGGCGGCCUUUCAAGUGACGGGUGAAAUCCCUCGGCUUAACCGAGGAACUGCCUGUCAGACUGGAAGGCUUGAGACCGGGAGAGGUGAGUGGAAUUCCCAGUGUAGCGGUGAAAUGCGUAGAUAUUGGGAGGAACACCAGUGGCGAAGGCGGCUCACUGGACCGGUACUGACGCUGAGGCGCGAAAGCGUGGGGAGCAAACAGGAUUAGAUACCCUGGUAGUCCACGCCGUAAACGAUGAGUGCUUGGUGUAGCGGGUAUCGACCCCUGCUGUGCCGAAGUCAACACAUUAAGCACUCCGCCUGGGGAGUACGGUCGCAAGACUG
This 372-nucleotide ribosomal RNA is filed under the name uncultured organism. Its description in RNAcentral is "bacterial SSU rRNA". It matches the Rfam family "Bacterial small subunit ribosomal RNA", at positions 526 to 896 of the family's 1533-position model. The record is from RNAcentral.